This is an RNA transcript of Syzygium oleosum, 4661 nucleotides long. It is a transcript of the gene named probable disease resistance RPP8-like protein 2, with no coding region annotated. NCBI's taxonomy places the organism in Eukaryota, Viridiplantae, Streptophyta, Magnoliopsida, Myrtales, Myrtaceae. The record is from RefSeq and is a predicted model, not a curated record. The transcript has 7 exons.
AAGUAGGGAACACCCUUGCAUUUUCAAGUGCUGGCCACAUGUUUGACAAAAUGGCCAUGUGGAUUGAAACCGCGUUCGAGCGCGUGAAAUAAGAGCCACAUUUUGCCUUCGGUUUGAAUCGUCCAAUUCUCGCAUUCACAUGAACAACGACGUAGGAAAAAGAAAGACCGCGAUUAAGGAAAAGACCAAUCGGCAUCUCCAACUUGUAUUGAUUGAAGGGACAAGAAAAAACGGAAGUAUGAUGCCGAAUUAUAGCUAUUAGACCAUGCGAAACGAAUCUUUUGACGGCACAUAAGACAAAGAUUAUGGCUAAUUAGCCCGUGUGCCAUUACCUCUACGCCAUUGCCUAUAUUUAGUUAGCUGCAGAGAGCGAUGAGCUCAUUGACCCAAGCCCAGUAUUAUUGCUGAACGAUAAUAAAGCUGAAUUGUUGUUUCCAGUUGAUCCCAGGAACGAGCUCCGGCUCGCUCAUCGGAUCAGUAGCGAAUCCUAAGGAGAGAUCUACCUCGGUACUAUUUAUUAUUCAGAGGAACGAGGGAGUCGCAGCUAAGCUUGCCUAUAUGUUCAGAGCUUGUUAACGCAUGAAAAGUGAAUUCUCAAAUCAUUCUCUAUCAUAAGCUCCUCUUAUCAUAGUCAAGUAGUGCAAUACCAAUGGCCGAGUCUGUCGUAUCGUUCGCAGUGGAGGCAAUAGGAAACUUGCUCAUCGACGAGGCCAAAUUCUUGUGGGGCGUGGAGGGCAAGGUCAAGGACCUGCAAAGGGAGCUGAGGCUGAUUCAAGCCUUGUUGAGGGAUGCAGACGCAAGACAAGAGCGCGAACAAGUUGUUGGAGAAUGGGUCGCGCAACUCCGUGACAUUGCCUAUGAUGCUGAGGAUGUCAUCGAGCAAUACAUCCUCAGAGUAGCACCAAAGAAAGGACAAAACAUCAUCAAAGCGUAUGCUUGCUUCGUGGCGAAGUGCACCUGGGUGCAGGCUCAUGUGGUGGGGACGGAGAUUGAGGGCUUAAAAUCCAGCAUCUCCAAUCUGAGAACGAGUAUGCAGGAUCAUGGCAUACUAUCAGUGAAUGAGGGCAAUCGCGAAUGGGCGACGGCUUCGACGCAGAGGCAUACUUAUGCCCAUUUCGAGGAGGAUGUUGUUGGGAUGGAAGAUAGUAUUAAGGUAUUAGUGAAAGGGCUGAAGAAUGGAAGACAACACAGAGUUAUUUCUAUAUGGGGAAUGGGUGGCUUGGGUAAGACAACACUCGCAAAGAAAGUCUUCGCUCAUGAUGGAGUGAAGAACAAUUUCGAUGGUUUCGCAUGGGCUUGCGUAUCUCAAGAAUACCAUAUGAAAGAUAUCUUGGUGGGAAUUCUUGUUAAGUUAGUCCCUGAUCAAAGAGAGAAGGUUAUGCAAAUGAGAGAUGAUGAAUUGUUCGAAACUCUAUACAAGAUCCAAAAAGAGAAGAGAUGUAUUGUGGUUCUUGACGAUAUUUGGACCAAACAGGCAUGGGACGGUAUUCGAGCCGCAUUCCCAGUCGAGAACACGAGAAGCAAGCUAUUGAUAACGACCCGUAAUAGAGAAGUAGCGGAGUAUAUCGAUCCUCAUGGUUUUCUCCAUGAACCUCCGUGCUUAUCAAAGCAGGAGAGUUGGGAGCUGCUGAUGAAGAGGGUGUUUCCUAAAACGAAAACUAUUGAACUUUCUUCUAUUGGACCUGGAGUUGGUCAAGGUAUUGCUAUGGGCCAAGCUGUAGAAGGUAUCACAAGACAAUCAGAGAUGGAGGGACAAAUACCAGUAAUCACUGAAGACAUGAAGAGGUUAGGAGAUGAACUCCUUAAGAAGUGUGCAGGAUUACCCCUGGCUGUCAUUGUGCUUGGUGGACUUCUGGCAGUCAACGAGUGGGAGACGGUUUACAAAAAGAUCAAUUUGCAUUUUAGCGAGAAGAGUGAUGUGUCAAAAGUGUUGGCCUUUAGCUAUGACGAUCUACCAUGGCAUCUAAAGCCAUGCUUCCUGUAUUUGGGUAGCUUUCCGGAGGAUGCAAAAAUUCCCGCAACAAAGAUUCUUCACAUGUGGAUUGCUGAAGGCUUUGUGUCGCUGAAUCCAUAUGACAAAGAGAGAGAAAUUCAAGUGGAAGAUAUAGCAGAGCAAUAUUUAACGGAGUUGGUUAACAGGGGGAUGGUUCAAGUACGAUUCAGCUUGAGUGGAAAGAUCAAAACUUGCCACCUUCAUGACCUGAUGCGAGACUUAUGCAUCUUUAAGGCUACGCAAGAGAGUUUUCUAAGCAUUUUUAACAUUCGACAAGACAAUGAGAUGGAGGAUUGUUCUUCUUCGACAGCAAUAAAAGUCGAGUCAACUUGCAAAAUACGAAGGCUUUCGCUCAAUAUGCACGAGAGUGCCGAAGGAAACAUGUUUUCGAGCGUAAAACCAAUAGAAAGGACUAUGCUCCACCUUCGAACUCUCAUGUUCUUCGGAUUUGUCCAAGGGAAGUGGAAGCAAUUUCAACCAAUUUUUAUCAACUGUAAGUUUCUCAGAAUUCUGAAACUGGAGGGUCUUUCUAAUAUGAUAGGAAAUUUACCUAAAUCAGUGGGAGACCUAAUCCAUUUAAGAUUCUUAAGUUUAGCGGGAAGUUAUUUUAAGGACUUGCCGCAAUCUAUAGGGAACCUUAUAUGGAUGGAAUUUUUGGACCUGUGUGUGGUUUCAUAUGUUAAGGUAAACGUGCCAAAUGUGUUGCAUAAGAUGAGAUGGUUGAGGUUUCUCCGCCUUCCCUUCGAUUUUUUCGUCAAGGGGAAACCUCAUGGAGUGUGGGAGAAGAUGCGGCUUGACACUUUAAAGAAUUUACGGACACUGAGAAACUUUACGCCGUUUAAUUGCGAUGUGAACGAUAUAGGCAAACUGACUAAUUUGCAAAAACUGACCGUCAUUGGUAGCAAGGAGUUGGAGAUAAUGCCACAACUUGCUAAAUUCGCUUUGAAACAUCUUCGAACCUCAUCUUUUGUGUUCGUCAGCCGACGUAGCUCGUUCACUGAAGGUGAAUUGAGUAAAAUGUCAAGCUACCCAUAUUCCUGUAAGCUGUGGAUAAUAGAUAAAAUAGAGAAGUUACCGGAACAUAGGAAUCUACCCCAGCAGCUGAGGAAGCUGAUCUUAUUCGACUCUGAACUGGAAGAAGAUCCGAUGCCAAUAUUGGAGAGAUUGCAGCACUUGGUUGUUCUCAUGCUGGGGAGUCGUGCUUUCAUGGGGAAGGAAAUGGUUUGCUCUGCGGGAGGCUUUCCUCAACUCAAGCAUCUAGUUCUUUAUUAUAUGGAGAAUUUGGAGGAGUGGAGGGUGGCUGAAGGAGCCAUGCCUCAUCUUUCUCGAUUAGGGAUCAGCGGAUGUCCCGGAUUGAAAAAGGCUGUACCUCGAGGAGUCCACACCUACGACAGUUACCUAGAAAUAGAGGAUGAGCUUCAGAAGAGGAUGUGAGAUAGAGAGAUAUUGAUGUGGGUGGUCAGGGGUGGCCUCAACUGUCUUGUGGGUUGUCAGGGGGGUGGGCUUGAGGACUUCAGUGGGGAAAUCUGUUUGUUUCGCUCGCUGUCGAGAUGCGUCGCGACUUUGCUCGUGGAAGAUUGCGAAGUUCUCGCUGAGGAGGUGGAGCGAAUUCAAUGCGAUGCUUCUCCAGAAGACAGCUGAUGGGAGGCAUAUAGGAAGAAAAUAAGGGUCAUCGCUUGUGGUGUUGAAGACGCCAUCGUGAAAGCAGCUUGCUUUGGCGAGGAGAGGAGAGAAGAUUCGAUCAUUUCCAUAGUGCUGGUCAGAUGUUUGACGAAAUGCGCAUCGAUGAAAUUGCUGGAUGUAGCAAGAAAACAAUAUGAUGAUGCCAAUUGGUGACGCUCGGCAAUUGUUGAUGCUCUCCUGUGACCGAGAACUUGCGGUAUAUAUCGAGGAGGUAAACAUUAUGAGAGGAUUUUUGCUUUCUCUGCCUGGAAUUGUAUUCUCGAUUGACCAAUUAAGUCAAAAAGAUAAUAUCCGCUCCACCAUCAGUUCAGACCUUCGAAGGGGUCUCAUAAAAUCUCUUUUAUCAAGUUGCUAAUCUAUGUCCUCUUCAACUAUUAUGAUUGUUUAUCUUCUUUUGGAAUCACAGACUGAUGUUAAACUAACACUUACCACAUCGAUGUGUCAUUUGGCACUUGUUGUCACUCUGCUGAGUUCAAACUUGGCAAGGUGUGCUCGGAGCAUCCCGAGUGGCAGAUUAAGAGCAGGUUUGUGUAUUUUCAAAAGCGCAAGAAUCUGCAUCUUCGAAGGAAAUUCCUUCCCUGCAGCUUAGUAUGACGUUGAGUUACGCAAGAGAGCCGGAGCAGAUUGUUUAGGAUCUACUGCAGUGCAUGGUGGUUUGCACUGAUAUUUGCACACUUUGAAGAUUGGUUAUUUUGUACUAAUGGCAUCUCAUCCCUCUUGCCCAUUUCGAAAAAUUUGAUAUUUAUUUUUAGUGCUCAUAACCAUUUCAUUGUUGACCACAAUUUUGCAUUUGAUUAGUAGGAUAUUUUCCUUGUCUUACCUACUUACUUGGAAGAAUCAGAAACCAAAAUCAGUGUUGUCACAUGGAGAUGGACAACAUAAAGAAUGUAUACGUCGCUCUUAAAAUAUCUAACCCUACGAAUAGGCCUAGAUACAAUUAGGUUUAAUUUGUUAUAGGAGAAUCGAAUCUAUGCACACUUGGUGA